AUUGAACGCUGGCGGAAUGCUUUACCCAUGCAAGUCGAACGGCAGCACGGACUUCGGUCUGGUGGCGAGUGGCGAACGGGUGAGUAAUGUAUCGGAACGUGCCCAGUCGUGGGGGAUAACGUAGUGAGAAUUACGCUAAUACCGCAUACGAUCUAUGGAUGAAAGCGGGGGAUCGCAAGACCUCGCGCGAUUGGAGCGGCCGAUAUCAGAUUAGGGAGUUGGUGGGGUAAAGGCCCACCAAGCCAACGAUCUGUAGCUGGUCUGAGAGGACGACCAGCCACACUGGAACUGAGACACGGUCCAGACUCCUACGGGAGGCAGCAGUGGGGAAUUUUGGACAAUGGGCGAAAGCCUGAUCCAGCCAUUCCGCGUGCAGGAUGAAGGCCCUCGGGUUGUAAACUGCUUUUGUACAGAACGAAAAGGUUUCUACUAAUACUAGGAGCUCAUGACGGUACUGUAAGAAUAAGCACCGGCUAACUACGUGCCAGCAGCCGCGGUAA
This 500-nucleotide ribosomal RNA is filed under the name uncultured bacterium. Its description in RNAcentral is "partial 16S ribosomal RNA". It matches the Rfam family "Bacterial small subunit ribosomal RNA", at positions 30 to 523 of the family's 1533-position model. The record is from RNAcentral.